This 455-nucleotide ribosomal RNA is filed under the name uncultured bacterium. RNAcentral describes it as "bacterial SSU rRNA". It matches the Rfam family "Bacterial small subunit ribosomal RNA", at positions 1036 to 1498 of the family's 1533-position model. The record is from RNAcentral.
AGGUGCUGCACGGCUGUCGUCAGCUCGUGUCGUGAGAUGUUGGGUUAAGUCCCGCAACGAGCGCAACCCUCGUGUCUAGUUACUAACAGUUCGGCUGAGGACUCUAGACAGACUGCCUUCGUAAGGAGGAGGAAGGUGAGGACGACGUCAAGUCAUCAUGGCCCUUACGGCUAGGGCGACACACGUGCUACAAUGGAUAGGACAAUGAGACGCAAUAUCGCGAGAUGGAGCAAAUCUAUAAACCUAUUCUCAGUUCGGAUUGUAGUCUGCAACUCGACUACAUGAAGCUGGAAUCACUAGUAAUCGUAGAUCAGCCAUGCUACGGUGAAUACGUUCCCGGGUCUUGUACUCACCGCCCGUCACACCAUGGGAGUUGAUUUCACCCGAAGCGGGGAAGCUAAAUCGGCUACCCUCCACGGUGGAAUUAGCGACUGGGGUGAAGUCCUAACAAGGUA